AUGGCCACCAACGGCCAGCCGGCGGCGGCGGUCGCCACCAUCGAUGACCUCCCUCAAAACAUGCUGCUCGAUAUCUUCCUCCGCCUUCCCUCCCUCGCGGACCUCGUCCGCGCCGCCUGCACCUGCCUGCCCUGGCGCAACCUGGUGACCAACUUUCCCCCCUUCCGCCGUCAAUUCAUCGACCUCCACCCGGCGCCCCUCCUCGGCCUCUUCUUCGACACGCCGUUUCAGGCUGUCCCCGGCAUCCCCGCCUUCGCCCCCGCCCACCGGAAUGAUCCGGAGCUCGUGGCCGCCAUCUUGAACGGUGACUUUUUCCUCACCACCCUCCAGGCGCGCGACGGCCCGGAAGCUAACUGGAGCUUCCUCGACGCCUGUGGCGGCUACCUUCUCCUCAUCAAAGAGGAUGAGGUAUUGCUCCUGCUGCUAAACCCCUUGGCACGGUGGUGCGAGCGGUUCUUUGAUCUGAGUGACUCCCGCAUCUUCGACGACGACGACGACGACCGCGAAGGCGAUCCUCAACUCCUUUACGCCGGCCUGAUCUGCGAUGACGAAAGCCCCGCGAGCUUUGGCAUCUUCUGUCUUGCUGCACAUGGAGGGUUCAGGUUGCGGGCUACGGUCUUCUUCUCAUUCUUGGGAAUGGGCGGCGAUUGGUUCCUCUCCCCAUGGUUGGAUGUCCCGCACCAUCCCAACCCCCACCCGGAAGGUGACGAAGAUGACGAAGGUGAUCUUGUGCUUGAGAGCGGCAUGCGAGUGGGUUUUUGCAGCUCGAUCCUUGGCCAAAUUAACGGCGAUAACAUGUGCAUUGCUUAUUCAAAUGGAUUCAACAUCGGUUUCAUGCUGCGUCAAGAAGAUGGCCUUGAUGCUGGGGCAUGGGCUAACAGCAGGGUAUUCAACCUGACUGAUCAAGUUCGACGGAAGCUUGGGUACUUACCCCAGAAUGGGCUGAAAAUUGCGGCAAUGCGGGGUAGCAUAGUGUACUUCACAACAUCACAGAUGUUCCAUCCGCUCGAGGCCACUUGUUGGUUCGCUUGUCUGUGCUUGGAAAGUCGCAGGCUGGAGUGGUUGUUUCCGAUGACGUAUAAUGGUCUCUUCCAACCAUACCACCAUUCAUCGUGGAGUACUUUUCUGUUACCAGAGAAUGAAAGAUUUUAUCCCUUCAUAUGA
RNAcentral lists this ribosomal RNA (1164 nucleotides) under Triticum aestivum (bread wheat). RNAcentral's name for it is "partial small subunit ribosomal RNA". Lineage: Eukaryota; Viridiplantae; Streptophyta; Magnoliopsida; Poales; Poaceae. The record is from RNAcentral.